GUUGUAUAGUCAAGUAAUUAAGUGCAUGUGGUGGAUGCCUUGGCAGUCAGAGGCGAUGAAAGACGUGAUAGCCUGCGAAAAGCUCCGGGGAGGCGGCAAAUAUCCUUUGAUCCGGAGAUGUCUGAAUGGGGGAACCCACCUACUUUAAGGUAGGUAUUGCAACAUGAAUACAUAGUGUUGCAAGGCGAACGAGGGGAAGUGAAACAUCUCAGUACCCUUAGGAAAAGAAAUCAAUUGAGAUUCCCUCAGUAGCGGCGAGCGAACGGGGAUCAGCCCAUUAAGUUAUGUGUGUUUUAGUGGAACGCUCUGGGAAGUGCGAACGUAGAGGGUGAUAUUCCCGUACACGAAAGGGCACACAUAAUGAUGACGAGUAGGGCGAGGCACGUGAAACCUUGUCUGAAUAUGGGGGGACCAUCCUCCAAGGCUAAAUACUCCUGACUGACCGAUAGUGAACCAGUACCGUGAGGGAAAGGCGAAAAGAACCCCUGUGAGGGGAGUGAAAUAGAUCCUGAAACCGCAUGCAUACAAGCAGUGGGAGCACCUUCGUGGUGUGACUGCGUACCUUUUGUAUAAUGGGUCAGCGACUUAUAUUCAGUAGCAAGGUUAACCGUAUAGGGGAGCCGUAGAGAAAUCGAGUCUUAAUAGGGCGUUUAGUUGCUGGGUAUAGACCCGAAACCAGGCGAUCUAUCCAUGAGCAGGUUGAAGGUUGGGUAACACUAACUGGAGGACCGAACCCACUGUCGUUGAAAAGCCAGGGGAUGACUUGUGGAUAGGGGUGAAAGGCUAAUCAAGCCUGGUGAUAGCUGGUUCUCCCCGAAAGCUAUUUAGGUAGCGCCUCGGACGAAUACCAUAGGGGGUAGAGCACUGUUUCGGCUAGGGGGUCAUCCCGACUUACCAAACCGAUGCAAACUCCGAAUACCUAUGAGUACUAUCCGGGAGACAGACUGCGGGUGCUAACGUCCGUAGUCAAGAGGAAAACAAUCCAGACCGCCAGCUAAGGCCCCAAAAUCAUAGUUAAGUGGGAAACGAUGUGGGAAGGCAUAGACAGCUAGGAGGUUGGCUUANNNNNNNNNNNNGAAGCAGCCACCCUUUAAAGAAAGCGUAAUAGCUCACUAGUCGAGUCGGCCUGCGCGGAAGAUGUAACGGGGCUAAAACUAUGUGCCGAAGCUGCGGAUGUAUACUUUGUAUACGUGGUAGGGGAGCGUUCUGUAAGCCGAUGAAGGUGUGUUGAGAAGCNNNNNAUGCUGGAGGUAUCAGAAGUGCGAAUGCUGACGUGAGUAACGACAAAACGGGUGAAAAACCCGUUCGCCGAAAGACCAAGGGUUCCAGUCCAACGUUAAUCGGGGCUGGGUGAGUCGACCCCUAAGGCGAGGCCGAAAGGCGUAGUCGAUGGGAAAAUGGUUAAUAUUCCAUUACUUCUGUGUAAUGCGAUGAGAGGACGGAGAAGGCUAAAUCAGCCUGGCGUUGGUUGUCCAGGUGAAAGGAUGUAGGCAUGUAUCUUAGGCAAAUCCGGGGUACUCUAUGCUGAGAUCUGAUAGCAAGCUGUACUUGUACAGCGAAGUGGUUGAUGCCAUGCUUCCAGGAAAAGUCUCUAAGCUUCAGUUACACAGGAAUCGUACCCGAAACCGACACAGGUGGUCAGGUCGAGUAGACCAAGGCGCUUGAGAGAACUCUGCUGAAGGAACUAGGCAAAAUGGUACCGUAACUUCGGGAGAAGGUACGCUGUUGUUGGUGAUGGAACUCGCUUCCUGAGCUGACGACAGCCGCAGAAACCAGGCCGCUGCAACUGUUUAUUAAAAACAUAGCACUCUGCAAACACGAAAGUGGACGUAUAGGGUGUGAUGCCUGCCCGGUGCUGGAAGGUUAAUUGAUGGGGUUAGCGUAAGCGAAGCUCUUGAUCGAAGCCCCAGUAAACGGCGGCCGUAACUAUAACGGUCCUAAGGUAGCGAAAUUCCUUGUCGGGUAAGUUCCGACCUGCACGAAUGGCAUAAUGAUGGCGGCGCUGUCUCCAGCAGAGGCUCAGUGAAAUCGAAAUCGCUGUGAAGAUGCAGUGUACCCGCGGCUAGACGGAAAGACCCCGUGAACCUUUACUGCAGCUUGACACUGAACUUUGACCUUACUUGUGUAGGAUAGGUGGGAGGCUUUGAAGCUGGAACGCUAGUUCCAGUGGAGCCGUCCUUGAAAUACCACCCUGGUAAUGUUGAGGUUCUAACUCUGUCCCGUGAUCCGGGACGAGGACCGUGUCUGGUGGGUAGUUUGACUGGGGCGGUCUCCUCCUAAAGAGUAACGGAGGAGUACGAAGGUGCGCUCAGCGUGGUCGGAAAUCACGCGUAGAGUAUAAAGGCAAAAGCGCGCUUAACUGCGAGACCCACAAGUCGAGCAGGUACGAAAGUAGGUCUUAGUGAUCCGGUGGUUCUGUAUGGAAGGGCCAUCGCUCAACGGAUAAAAGGUACUCUGGGGAUAACAGGCUGAUACCGCCCAAGAGUUCAUAUCGACGGCGGUGUUUGGCACCUCGAUGUCGGCUCAUCUCAUCCUGGGGCUGAAGCAGGUCCCAAGGGUAUGGCUGUUCGCCAUUUAAAGAGGUACGCGAGCUGGGUUUAGAACGUCGUGAGACAGUUCGGUCCCUAUCUACCGUGGGCGCUGGAAAUUUGAGAGGAUCUGCUCCUAGUACGAGAGGACCAGAGUGGACGAACCUCUGGUGUACCGGUUGUGACGCCAGUCGCAUCGCCGGGUAGCUAUGUUCGGAAGGGAUAACCGCUGAAAGCAUCUAAGCGGGAAGCCUACCUCAAGAUAAGAUUUCCCUAGGACUUUAUGUCCUCUAAAGAGCCGUUCGAGACUAGGACGUUGAUAGGUUGGAUGUGGAAGCAUAGUGAUAUGUGAAGCUGACCAAUACUAAUUGCUCGUGAGGCUUGACUAUACAACACCCAAGCAGUUG
Molecule: ribosomal RNA, 2935 nt
Filed under: Acinetobacter baumannii
Lineage: Bacteria; Pseudomonadati; Pseudomonadota; Gammaproteobacteria; Moraxellales; Moraxellaceae
Description: bacterial LSU rRNA
Rfam family: Bacterial large subunit ribosomal RNA
Source: RNAcentral